AGAGUUUGAUCAUGGCUCAGGACGAACGCUGACGGUGUGCUUUAGACAUGCAAGUCGAACGAGAAAGCCCUUCGGGGUGAGUACAGUGGCGAACGGGUGAGUAACACGUGGGCAACCUGCCCCUCGCAGGGGGAUAACCGGAGGAAACUCCGGCUAAUACCCCGUAAGCUUUCAGGGUCGCAUGGCCCUGUAAGGAAAGGUAGCUUCGGCCAUCCGGCGAGGGAUGGGCCCGCGGUGCAUUAGCUAGUUGGUGGGGUAACGGCCCACCAAGGCGACGAUGCGUAGCUGGUCUGAGAGGAUGAUCAGCCACACUGGGACUGAGACACGGCCCAGACUCCUACGGGAGGCAGCAGUCGGGAAUCUUGCGCAAUGGGCGAAAGCCUGACGCAGCAACACCGUGUGAGCGACGAAGGCCUUCGGGUCGUAAAGCUCUGUUGUUGGGGACGAAGGGUUAGGGGUUAAUAGCCCCGAGCCUGACGGUACCCUUCGAGGAAGCCCCGGCUAACUACGUGCCAGCAGCCGCGGUAAUACGUAGGGGGCGAGCGUUGUCCGGAAUUAUUGGGCGUAAAGAGCGUGUAGGCGGUUCGGUAAGUCUGCCGUGAAAACCCAGGGCUCAACCCUGGGCGUGCGGUGGAUACUGCCGGGCUAGAGGGUGGUAGAGGCGAGUGGAAUUCCUGGUGUAGCGGUGAAAUGCGCAGAUAUCGGGAGGAACACCAGUAGCGAAGGCGGCUCGCUGGGCCACACCUGACGCUGAGACGCGAAAGCGUGGGGAGCAAACAGGAUUAGAUACCCCCGUAGUCC
RNAcentral lists this ribosomal RNA (801 nucleotides) under uncultured Rubrobacter sp. RNAcentral's name for it is "bacterial SSU rRNA". It matches the Rfam family "Bacterial small subunit ribosomal RNA", at positions 8 to 796 of the family's 1533-position model. The record is from RNAcentral. Lineage: Bacteria; Bacillati; Actinomycetota; Rubrobacteria; Rubrobacterales; Rubrobacteraceae.